Molecule: ribosomal RNA, 793 nt
Filed under: uncultured bacterium
Lineage: Bacteria
Description: bacterial SSU rRNA
Rfam family: Bacterial small subunit ribosomal RNA
Source: RNAcentral
CGACGGGCUCAUAUUGAACCUAGUGAUGUAUGAGUUAGUGGCGGACGGGUGAGUAACGCGUGGAGAACCUGCCGUAUACUGGGGGAUAACACUUAGAAAUAGGUGCUAAUACCGCAUAAGCGCACAGCUUCGCAUGAAGCAGUGUGAAAAACUCCGGUGGUAUACGAUGGAUCCGCGUCUGAUUAGCUGGUUGGCGGGGUAACAGCCCACCAAGGCGACGAUCAGUAGCCGGCCUGAGAGGGUGAACGGCCACAUUGGGACUGAGACACGGCCCAAACUCCUACGGGAGGCAGCAGUGGGGAAUAUUGCACAAUGGGGGAAACCCUGAUGCAGCGACGCCGCGUGAGUGAAGAAGUAUUUCGGUAUGUAAAGCUCUAUCAGCAGGGAAGAAAUACUGACCUUACGGUCAGCAGACGGUACCUGACUAAGAAGCCCCGGCUAACUACGUGCCAGCAGCCGCGGUAAUACGUAGGGGGCAAGCGUUAUCCGGAUUUACUGGGUGUAAAGGGAGCGUAGACGGCAGCGCAAGUCUGAAGUGAAAUCCCAUGGCUUAACCAUGGAACUGCUUUGGAAACUGUGCAGCUGGAGUGCAGGAGGGGUAAGCGGAAUUCCUAGUGUAGCGGUGAAAUGCGUAGAUAUUAGGAGGAACACCAGUGGCGAAGGCGGCUUACUGGACUGUAACUGACGUUGAGGCUCGAAAGCGUGGGGAGCAAACAGGAUUAGAUACCCUGGUAGUCCACGCCGUANACGAUGAUUACUAGGUGNUGGGGGAACAAGGUCCUUCGGUGCCGGC